RNAcentral lists this ribosomal RNA (488 nucleotides) under uncultured bacterium. RNAcentral describes it as "partial 16S ribosomal RNA". It matches the Rfam family "Bacterial small subunit ribosomal RNA", at positions 30 to 523 of the family's 1533-position model. The record is from RNAcentral.
AUUGAACGCUGGCGGCAGGCCUAACACAUGCAAGUCGAGCGGGGUUUUCGGACCUAGCGGCGGACGGGUGAGUAAUGCGUAGGAAGCUACCCGAUAGAGGGGGAUACCAGUUGGAAACGACUGUUAAUACCGCAUAAUGUCUACGGACCAAAGUGUGGGACCUUCGGGCCACAUGCUAUCGGAUGCGCCUACGUGGGAUUAGCUGGUUGGUGGGGUAAUGGCUCCCCAAGGGGACGAUCCCUAGCUGGCUUGAGAGGAUGAUCAGCCACACUGGAACUGAGACACGGUCCAGACUCCUACGGGAGGCAGCAGUGGGGAAUAUUGGACAAUGGGCGCAAGCCGGAUCCAGCCAUGCCGCGUGUGUGAAGAAGGCCUUCGGGUUGUAAAGCACUUUCAGUAGGGAGGAAGAGUUGAGUGUUAAUAGUACUCAGCUUUGACGUUACCUACAGAAGAAGCACCGGCUAACUCUGUGCCAGCCGCCGCCGUAA